Molecule: ribosomal RNA, 463 nt
Filed under: uncultured bacterium
Lineage: Bacteria
Description: partial 16S ribosomal RNA
Rfam family: Bacterial small subunit ribosomal RNA
Source: RNAcentral
GACGAACGCUGGCGGCGUGCUUAACACAUGCAAGUCGAACGGAAAGGCCUUUUCGGAGGUACUCGAGUGGCGAACGGGUGAGUAACACGUGGGUGAUCUGCCCUGCACUCUGGGAUAAGCCUGGGAAACUGGGUCUAAUACCGGAUAGGACCGCACUCUAGUGUGUGUGGUGGAAAGUUUUUUCGGUGUAGGAUGAGCCCGCGGCCUAUCAGCUUGUUGGUGGGGUAAUGGCCUACCAAGGCGGCGACGGGUAGCCGGACUGAGGGGUUGGUCGGCCACAUUGGGACUGAGAUACGGCCCAGACUCCUACGGGAAGCAACAGUGGGGAAUAUUGCACAAUGGGCGCAAGCCUGAUGCAGCGACGCCGCGUGGGGGAUGACGGCCUUCGGGUUGUAAACUCCUUUCGCCAGGGACGAAGCGUUUUGUGACGGUACCUGGAGAAGAAGCACCGGCUAACUACGUG